Molecule: transfer RNA, 72 nt
Organism: Strigomonas culicis
Lineage: Eukaryota; Euglenozoa; Kinetoplastea; Trypanosomatida; Trypanosomatidae
Rfam family: tRNA
About the family: Transfer RNA (tRNA) molecules are approximately 80 nucleotides in length. Their secondary structure includes four short double-helical elements and three loops (D, anti-codon, and T loops). Further hydrogen bonds mediate the characteristic L-shaped molecular structure. tRNAs have two regions of fundamental functional importance: the anti-codon, which is responsible for specific mRNA codon recognition, and the 3' end, to which the tRNAs corresponding amino acid is attached (by aminoacyl-tRNA synthetases). tRNAs cope with the degeneracy of the genetic code in two manners: having more than one tRNA (with a specific anti-codon) for a particular amino acid; and 'wobble' base-pairing, i.e. permitting non-standard base-pairing at the 3rd anti-codon position.
Source: Rfam
GGCCGCUUAGUCUAGUGGUAUGAUUCCCGCUUCGGGUGCGGGAGGUCACGGGUUCAAUUCCCGUAGCGGCCC